This 264-nucleotide ribosomal RNA is filed under the name Escherichia coli. Its description in RNAcentral is "partial 16S ribosomal RNA". It matches the Rfam family "Bacterial small subunit ribosomal RNA", at positions 1 to 261 of the family's 1533-position model. Lineage: Bacteria; Pseudomonadati; Pseudomonadota; Gammaproteobacteria; Enterobacterales; Enterobacteriaceae. The record is from RNAcentral.
AAAUUGAAGAGUUUGAUCAUGGCUCAGAUUGAACGCUGGCGGCAGGCCUAACACAUGCAAGUCGAACGGUAACAGGAAGCAGCUUGCUGCUUUGCUGACGAGUGGCGGACGGGUGAGUAAUGUCUGGGAAACUGCCUGAUGGAGGGGGAUAACUACUGGAAACGGUAGCUAAUACCGCAUAACGUCGCAAGACCAAAGAGGGGGACCUUAGGGCCUCUUGCCAUCGGAUGUGCCCAGAUGGGAUUAGCUAGUAGGUGGGGUAAC